This is a long non-coding RNA of Trichomycterus rosablanca, 280 nucleotides long. RefSeq lists it as uncharacterized. The transcript has 3 exons. Lineage: Eukaryota; Metazoa; Chordata; Actinopteri; Siluriformes; Trichomycteridae. The record is from RefSeq and is a predicted model, not a curated record.
UGUACGUGUGUCUGCCCUGCGAUCGACUGGCGCCCUGUCCAGGGUAUUACUGUGUGCCCAUUGAAAAGCUGGGAUAGGCUUCAGUACCACCAAAUCAAAACGUCUCUGUAAAGUACCUUGCGCUGUUCUGACAACCUCUUGUCUCGCAGCUUCUGCUGCCAUUGAGGGAACUUUUCCUCCAGGGCUUCGGACUCAGAACCACCAUAAUUAGGAUGAAGAGGUUUUUAAAGAUGAACAAAAUUAUGUGCUCUCCCAUUACAAUGUACUCUGUAGAUUGUCU